UAUUUCUCAUUGAAUUUUUUUUUUUUUUUUUUGCAAAUUGUGGAUGUUUUGGAUUUCUUAUAAUUUUGGGUUGAAUUCACAUAUUGCGGUUCAGUAGGAGUUCCAAUGCGUAAAAUUUCUGGGCCGAAUUCACAUAUUGGGGUUUAUCAGUAGUUCGACAGCAUCAAAUUUCUGACCGAAAUUGCCACUUGUGGUUCAUCAGGAGUUCCAAAGCUUCCAAUUUGCUCCAAGAAUCUGAUAAUUUCGAGUUCCUUACGAGUUUAGAGGUACUAGAAGCUCAGCACUAAAACCACUUUUGUUCAAGGCUCACAUGCAGGACAUCCUAUUUUUGUAAAUCUUCCUUCAUUUUGGAUGCAAAGCUUAAAUAUACUACUUAAAAGCACUAUGGGGAACUUUGGAUGCAAAAAUUUUGUAUAGACAAUCUAUAAUAGUUUGGAUGCAAAGUUAGGGAUGAGAUAUACUUUUAUGACAAUUUGCAAUGCUUAGCUUUUGUAUAUCUGACUCAUUUUAAAGAGAAGUAUUAGAAGUAAUAUAUACAUGUUUUCUCAUUUAUCUUUUUA
Molecule: long non-coding RNA, 560 nt
Organism: Beta vulgaris subsp. vulgaris (sugar beet)
Lineage: Eukaryota; Viridiplantae; Streptophyta; Magnoliopsida; Caryophyllales; Amaranthaceae
Exons: 2
Source: RefSeq, a predicted model, not a curated record